AGUAAACGCUGGCGGUAGGCCUAACACAUGCAAGUCGAACGGCAGCACAGUAAGAGCUUGCUCUUACGGGUGGCGAGUGGCGGACGGGUGAGGAAUACAUCGGAAUCUACUUUUUCGUGGGGGAUAACGUAGGGAAACUUACGCUAAUACCGCAUACGACCUACGGGUGAAAGCAGGGGAUCUUCGGACCUUGCGCGAUUGAAUGAGCCGAUGUCGGAUUAGCUAGUUGGCGGGGUAAAGGCCCACCAAGGCGACGAUCCGUAGCUGGUCUGAGAGGAUGAUCAGCCACACUGGAACUGAGACACGGUCCAGACUCCUACGGGAGGCAGCAGUGGGGAAUAUUGGACAAUGGGCGCAAGCCUGAUCCAGCCAUACCGCGUGGGUGAAGAAGGCCUUCGGGUUGUAAAGCCCUUUUGUUGGGAAAGAAAAGCAGCGGGUUAAUACCCCGCUGUUCUGACGGUACCCAAAGAAUAAGCACCGGCUAACUUCGUG
This 492-nucleotide ribosomal RNA is filed under the name uncultured bacterium. Its description in RNAcentral is "partial 16S ribosomal RNA". It matches the Rfam family "Bacterial small subunit ribosomal RNA", at positions 29 to 507 of the family's 1533-position model. The record is from RNAcentral.